AGCAUUCGGCUCGCCGCGUCGU
RNAcentral lists this microRNA (22 nucleotides) under Sus scrofa (pig). RNAcentral describes it as "ssc-mir10". The record is from RNAcentral. Lineage: Eukaryota; Metazoa; Chordata; Mammalia; Artiodactyla; Suidae.